GAUGAAGAACGUAGCGAAAUGCGAUACUUGGUGUGAAUUGCAGAAUCCCGUGAACCAUCGAGUCUUUGAACGCAAGUUGCGCCUCAAGCCAUUAGGUUGAGGGCACGUCUGCCUGGGCGUCACAUAUCGUUGCCUGAUGCCAGUUUCCUCGUGAUGGGUGACUGUGCAGGGCGAAUGAUGGCUUCCCGUGAGCAUUGUUGCCUCAUGGUUGGUUGAAAAUUGAGUCCUUGGUAGGGAGCGCCGUGAUAGAUGGUGGUUGAGUGACGAACGAGACCCAAUCAUGUGAGACCCCUACCGAAUUUGGCCUUCAUGACCCACAUGCGUCUUUGAAACGGUAAUAACGAGACCUCAGGUCAGGCGGGGCUACCCGCUGAGUUUAAGCAUAUCAAUAAGCGGAGGA
RNAcentral lists this unclassified non-coding RNA (400 nucleotides) under soil metagenome. RNAcentral's name for it is "partial contains 5.8S ribosomal RNA, internal transcribed spacer 2, and large subunit ribosomal RNA". The stretch from base 1 to 122 matches the Rfam family "5.8S ribosomal RNA", at positions 35 to 154 of the family's 154-position model. The record is from RNAcentral.